Molecule: ribosomal RNA, 253 nt
Filed under: uncultured bacterium
Lineage: Bacteria
Description: partial 16S ribosomal RNA
Rfam family: Bacterial small subunit ribosomal RNA
Source: RNAcentral
UACGUAGGGCGCAAGCGUUGUCCGGAAUUAUUGGGCGUAAAGAGCUCGUAGGCGGUUUGUCGCGUCUGCUGUGAAAACCUAAGGCUCAACCUUGGGCUUGCAGUGGGUACGGGCAGACUAGAGUGCGGUAGGGGUGACUGGAAUUCCUGGUGUAGCGGUGGAAUGCGCAGAUAUUGGGAAGAACACCAGUGGCGAAGGCGGUUCUCUGGGACGGUACUGACGCUGAGGCGCGAAAGCGUGGGGAGCAAACAGG